This is a non-coding RNA of Oncorhynchus mykiss (rainbow trout), 610 nucleotides long. NCBI's taxonomy places the organism in Eukaryota, Metazoa, Chordata, Actinopteri, Salmoniformes, Salmonidae. The record is from RefSeq and is a predicted model, not a curated record.
CUAUAGGUCCUGUUCUGAUCUCUAUAGCCUCUAUAGGUCCUGUCCUGAUCUCUAUAGCCUCUAUAGGUCCUGUUCUGAUCUCUAUAGCCUCUAUAGGUCCUGUUCUGAUCUCUAUAGCCUCUAUAGGUCCUGUUCUGAUCUCUAUAGCCUCUAUAGGUCCUGUCCUGAUCUCUAUAGGUCCUGUUCUGAUCUCUAUAGCCUCUAUAGGUCCUGUUCUGAUCUCUAUAGUCUCUAUAGGCCCUGUUCUGAUCUCUAUAGCCUCUAUAGGUCAUGUCCUGAUCUCUAUAGCCUCUAUAGGUCCUGUCCUGAUCUCUAUAGCCUCUAUAGGUCCUGUUCUGAUCUCUAUAGUCUCUAUAGGCCCUGUUCUGAUCUCUAUAGGUCAUGUUCUGAUCUCUAUAGGUCCUGUUCUGAUCUCUAUAGCCUCUAUAGGUCAUGUUCUGAUCUCUAUAGCCUCUAUAGGUCCUGUCCUGAUCUCUAUAGGUCCUGUCCUGAUCUCUAUAGCCUCUAUAGGUCCUGUUCUGAUCUCUAUAGGUCCUGUUCUGAUCUCUAUAGCCUCUAUAGGUCCUGUCCUGAUCUCUAUAGCCUCUAUAGGUCCUGUUCUGAUCUCUAU